Molecule: ribosomal RNA, 253 nt
Filed under: uncultured bacterium
Lineage: Bacteria
Description: partial 16S ribosomal RNA
Rfam family: Bacterial small subunit ribosomal RNA
Source: RNAcentral
UACGAAGGGGGCUAGCGUUGCUCGGAAUCACUGGGCGUAAAGCGCACGUAGGCGGAUUGUUAAGUCAGGGGUGAAAUCCUGGAGCUCAACUCCAGAACUGCCUUUGAUACUGAGGAUCUUGAGUUCGGGAGAGGUGAGUGGAACUGCGAGUGUAGAGGUGAAAUUCGUAGAUAUUCGCAAGAACACCAGUGGCGAAGGCGGCCCACUGGCCCGAUACUGACGCUGAGGCACGAAAGCGUGGGGAGCAAACAGG